This 107-nucleotide small nuclear RNA is filed under the name Catagonus wagneri (Chacoan peccary). The record is from RNAcentral. Lineage: Eukaryota; Metazoa; Chordata; Mammalia; Artiodactyla; Tayassuidae.
GUACUUGCGUCAGCAGCACAUAUACUAAAACUGGGACGACAGAGAGAAGAUUAGUGUGGCCCCAGGGCAAGGAUGACACGCAAAUUCGUGAAGCGUUCCAUAUUUAA